AACGAACGCUGGCGGCAUGCCUAACACAUGCAAGUCGAACGAGACCUUCGGGUCUAGUGGCGCACGGGUGCGUAACGCGUGGGAACCUGCCCUUAGGUUCGGAAUAACUCCCCGAAAGGGGUGCUAAUACCGGAUAAUGUCUUCGGACCAAAGAUUUAUGGCCUUUGGAUGGGCCCGCGUUGGAUUAGCUAGUUGGUAGGGUAAAAGCCUACCAAGGCGACGAUCCAUAGCUGGUCUGAGAGGAUGAUCAGCCACACUGGGACUGAGACACGGCCCAGACUCCUCCGGGAGGAAGCAGUGGGGAAUGUUGGACAAUGGGCGAAAGCCUGAUCCAGCAAUGCCGCGUGAGUGAUGAAGGCCUUAGGGUUGUAAAGCUCUUUUACCCGGGAUGAUAAUGACAGUACCGGGAGAAUAAGCCCCGGCUAACUCCGUG
RNAcentral lists this ribosomal RNA (433 nucleotides) under uncultured bacterium. RNAcentral's name for it is "partial 16S ribosomal RNA". It matches the Rfam family "Bacterial small subunit ribosomal RNA", at positions 29 to 507 of the family's 1533-position model. The record is from RNAcentral.